UACGGAGGGUGCAAGCGUUACUCGGAAUUACUGGGCGUAAGCGCGCGUAGGUGGUUUGAUCAGCGAGAUGGGAAAGCCCCGGGCUUAACCUGGGAACGGCAUUUCGAACUGUCAGGCUAGAGUAUGGCAGAGGAGUGUGGAAUUUCCAGUGUAGCGGUGAAAUGCGUAGAUAUAGGAAGGAACACCAGUGGCGAAGGCGGCACUCUGGACCAAUACUGACCCUGAGGUGCGAAAGCGUGGGGAGCAAACAGG
RNAcentral lists this unclassified non-coding RNA (252 nucleotides) under uncultured Alteromonadales bacterium. RNAcentral's name for it is "contains 16S-23S intergenic spacer region". It matches the Rfam family "Bacterial small subunit ribosomal RNA", at positions 524 to 776 of the family's 1533-position model. Lineage: Bacteria; Pseudomonadati; Pseudomonadota; Gammaproteobacteria; Alteromonadales. The record is from RNAcentral.